Molecule: long non-coding RNA, 478 nt
Filed under: Monodelphis domestica (gray short-tailed opossum)
Lineage: Eukaryota; Metazoa; Chordata; Mammalia; Didelphimorphia; Didelphidae
Description: lncRNA (ENSMODG00000032812.2)
Source: RNAcentral
UUUAAAUUCAAGUUAGUUCAAAUAGAAAUGGUCUAGGAAUAUGAUACUUUCUUUGUACUGCUUUUAUGUUUAUUUCAGCUGAUCAAUGCACAUAUGGUGGGGAGUUCAUUUUUUGUAGGCUCACUGCAAUUCUUAUUAAGAAAACAACCUUAUUGUCUUUAGGCUCACUGAAAGUAUCAAGACAACUCCAUCAAAUAACAAAAAAAAGUGCACCAUGGGACUUGUACUAUGCUUUUGGAUAUAACAGAGACAAAAAAAAAGUUUUAAAGACAAACAGUGAGAAUAAGCAAUGAAUGCACAAGGACCUAUUUACAAUGGUAGGGUGGAAAAGACCAGUGAAGAACCUAGUAGGAUACCAGCUGCUUCACAAACUUGUGAGUACCUCUCAUUUUUUUAAGUAGACAAAACAUAGUCAUUGUGCCUUGUUAAAAACCUGAAAUUGAAAAUGAAAUUACUAAUAAAAUUACAAAAAUGCCCA